GCCAGGCAUAGUGGCACAUGUCUGUAAUCCAGCCUAUUUCGGAGGCUGAGGAAAGAGUAUCAUUUGAGCCCAGGAGUUCAAGGCCAGCCUGGGUAACAUAGUGAGAUUCUGAU
RNAcentral lists this small RNA (113 nucleotides) under Marmota monax (woodchuck). Lineage: Eukaryota; Metazoa; Chordata; Mammalia; Rodentia; Sciuridae. The record is from RNAcentral.